Molecule: ribosomal RNA, 253 nt
Filed under: uncultured bacterium
Lineage: Bacteria
Description: partial 16S ribosomal RNA
Rfam family: Bacterial small subunit ribosomal RNA
Source: RNAcentral
UACGUAGGGGGCAAGCGUUGUCCGGAUUUAUUGGGCGUAAAGAGCGUGUAGGCGGUUUGGUAGGUCCGUUGUGAAAACUCGAGGCUCAACCUCGAGACGCCGAUGGAAACCAUCAGACUAGAGUCCGGAAGAGGAGAGUGGAAUUCCUGGUGUAGCGGUGAAAUGCGCAGAUAUCAGGAAGAACACCCGUGGCUAAGGCGGCUCUCUAGUACGGUACUGACGCUGAGCCGCGAAAGCGUGGGGAGCGAACAGG